UUGAUUUAUGUUUGAAAUAAUUUUAAAUUUUUUUAUAAAACUUGAUGUUUUUUAUUUUUAAUAGGGAAUAUAUUGAUGACACUUUCAGAUUUGGAAGGAUUGUGAUUGGCACGUUUUCAGAGGUGUCCGGACUCUGUAAUGGUCAAAGGUUUCCAGUAGAAGAAGAUGAGACAAGAAUUAAAUGCAUGUGGGAGACUCUGGACCUAGGCACUUCGUGCUUUUGA
RNAcentral lists this long non-coding RNA (224 nucleotides) under Athene cunicularia (burrowing owl). RNAcentral describes it as "lncRNA (ENSACUG00000000494.1)". The record is from RNAcentral. Lineage: Eukaryota; Metazoa; Chordata; Aves; Strigiformes; Strigidae.